GCGGUUUGUGAGGGGAAAAAAUUAAAGAAAAGGGUAAAAAAUGAGAAAUAAUGAGAAAAGAGGCUUUUUCACACGGGGGGCGGUGUUUUUUGGGGGGCGAUUCUGGGGGCUGCUGCCCUUUUUUGGUGAUUUUUAGGGACUAUUUUGUCGCCCCCGCGGGAGGCGGUGCCGGGCCCUUUAUAAGGGAGGGCCCCGAGCCGGCAGCGCCCGGCCGAGAUCCAGCCCCGAUUUGGUCCAAAUUUGGCCCAAAAACCGCUCGAUUCUGAGCCGAAAGCUCUUAUAGCUGCUCGAUUUUAUCCAAAAUAGCUCCAAAAAUGGCUUUAUUUUCUAUCGAGAGCUCCAAAAAUGGCUUUAUUGCCUACGAAAAGCUCUUAAAGCUGCGGUGUUUUAUACAAAGAUCUCCUAAUAGUGCUUUAUUUCAUAAAAGCGGCUCCUAAAUGUUUAUUUGAACAAAAGAGAUAAAAGCUGUUUCCUUUAAGGAAAACUGAGCUCUUAAAGCUGCUUGCUUUCAGUAAAAAUCCUUAAAUUGCCGCGAUUCCAGUAAUGGGAAAAGCGGGGCAAGCCGGGGCGCUUUUAAUUGAAAAAAAAAAAAAUCAAUGAAAAAUCUUUAAAAAAGCUCUUAAAGCUGGUUUUUAUUUAAACCGAAGCUUCUGAUGUUGGUUUUUAAGAAAUCGCUGCUUUCAAAGCCGAUUUCUGGGAGAAAACGCAGCUCUCGCAGCUCUUUAAUGCUUAAAAUAUCAUAACGUGACAAAAAGGCCGGAGCGAGCUGGGGCGGUUUUAAUUCAAAAAGAGCUUUUUAAGCUGCUUUAAUUUAGAGAAAGAAAAAGCGCUUGAUACGCUGUUUUCUGCUAAAAAGAAAAAGCUCCUAAAUUUAAGUUUUGAAAAGCUCUUAAAGCUUGAAAAAUGUAGUUUUGUCCCCAAGUGGGGCCGGGCCGGGCAGCGCAGACGGGGGCGGCCGGUUUGGGGUGAAAUGCGGCAUUUUCAGGAUCAGGAUGGAUUGAGAGGAACCAAUUUUGAGGGAAGAGCAGGAAAACUGAAGAGUGAAGAUGGAGUCGGCAGGGAAAGGAAAGAUUUUCUUCGCAGUGACCCCAUCUGGGGGGAAAAAAGGACUUUUUGGUAAAAUGGCGGCAGUUGGGCAGGGGAGGAGCAGAGAGAAGAGAGAAAAAAAAAGAACAAAAAGAAAAUAGAAUAAAACAGAGAAAAUAGAAGAAAAUCAGAAAAAAGAGAAAAAUAGGAAAAAAUACAAAAAAGAAAAUAGAAAAAAAUUUGGAAAAAUAUAAAUUGGAAAAAAGAAAAUUGAAAAAGCAUAGAAAAAAUGGAAAAAGGAAUCUAGAAAAAAAGAUGAGAAGAAAAUCGGAAAAUAGAAGAAACUAGAAAAAAGAAAAUAGGACAAAUAGAAAAUAGAAGAAUAUAGAAAAAAUAAUGGAAAUAGACUGAAAAUAAAUAGAAAAAAACUAGAAUUGGAAAAAAUACAAUUGGGAAAAUGAAACUAGAAAAAAGAAAAUAAAAAAUGAUAGAAAAAAUGAAAAACCCAAGUGCUGAAAAUUUGAGAAGAUGGAAGUGAAAACAGGGAGAAAUGAGAAGAGAGAAAAAAAUAGAAGAGAAUAGAAGAGAGGAAAAAUGGGAGAAAAUCAAAGAGGAGAAAAUAGAAGCGAAAAAUUAUGAAAAAAAAAGAAGGAUAAAGGGAGAAAAAGGAAGAAAAAUCCCGAUUUGGGUCCCGGAGCUGGGAAAAUUGAGGAAUUUGAGGAAAAUGCCCCAAACGGAGCCGGAGGCAGCGGCCGGGUGAGGCCCCACCCCCCCCCCCCGGGGGUGUGGGAAUUUUGGGGGGAUUUGGGGGGUUUUGGGGUUUUGUCGUUUCAGGCGCCGUCGCCGUCGCCCCUUUCCCCUUCCCUCUUUUUCUAUUAAACUCCCCAGAAAUGGGGAAAACCCCCCCAAAUUCCUCCAGCACCCUCCGGCUCCGCCGCUCCCGCCGGCGCCGUUCAGGCAACAGCAAAACGCAGGGAAAAACGACCAAAAGAAAAAAAAAAUCCGGUGAGAAAAAGCCGAGGAAAGGGGGAAAAAAAAAAAAAAAAGGAAUUAACCAAAAAAAAAAAGCCAGUCUGCACUCAAAACGCGCUCAGGAGAUUCCGGCAGGGAUUUGAGGAGAACCCCCCCCAGAUUUGGGGAAUGCAGAGAAGUAAGAGUCGAUUUCAUUUCAUUUUUUGGGGAGGUCGGUUUUUGGUGGGGAGGGGGCGGUUUUGGGUUUUUUUUUCCGCCCUUUCCGCAGCCGCAAGUGAGAGGAGUCAGCAGCAUCAAAAAAGAAGCUUUUUUUGCCCCAAAGUGAAGCUGGAAGAGCAGGAAUGUGACUCCGAGAGAAUUCCCUUAGGAAAAAAAAAAAAAAGUAAAACCCCCCCCCCCAAAAAAAAAACCCACGGAGGGAGGGGCUGGAGCAGGCGUGGGGGGAGGGGACAAUAAUCAUGUUUUCAGGUUUUUUUCUCCAAAACCAGCAGCAGGAAUGGUUAAAUUUAGACUUUUGUCCCCAAAACGAGUAAGUGUAGGAGCGAGCGAGGGGAAGGAGCCUCGAAUUUGAGGCAAACCCCCCCCCCCCCCUCCAAAUCGGCGGUGGCAGGUACCGGGUGCACCCCUCCCCCAAUCCUGAGACCCACCCCACCCCCCCCCAGGGACCCGCGCGGGAGGUGGGGGAGGGGAAGGGGCGGCGGUUUUGGGGUGAUUCCGGCCGGUUUGGGGCGUCGGGAGGUGGGGAGAGGGUGGGGAACCCCCCCCCCCCCC
Long non-coding RNA from Cinclus cinclus, 2769 nucleotides. RefSeq lists it as uncharacterized. NCBI's taxonomy places the organism in Eukaryota, Metazoa, Chordata, Aves, Passeriformes, Cinclidae. The record is from RefSeq and is a predicted model, not a curated record. The transcript is spliced from 2 exons.